This 74-nucleotide transfer RNA is filed under the name Parachlamydiaceae bacterium. Its description in RNAcentral is "tRNA-Lys". It matches the Rfam family "tRNA". Rfam says of the family: Transfer RNA (tRNA) molecules are approximately 80 nucleotides in length. Lineage: Bacteria; Pseudomonadati; Chlamydiota; Chlamydiia; Parachlamydiales; Parachlamydiaceae. The record is from RNAcentral.
GGGUCUUUAGCUCAGUUGGUUAGAGCACCUCACUUUUAAUGAGGGUGUCGAUGGUUCGAGUCCAUCAAGACCCA